GGCAAAUCUCCAAAAUAGCACAAUUCUAAGUUUAUAUCACAAAAAUAGCACUCAAAAACUAAAAUGACCAAAAUAGCAUUUUAUUCUUUGAAAAAUUUAAAUUUUUUUAUUUUUUAAAAUUUGAAAUCUUAUCCCCAAAACCUCAUUUUUCAACUCUAAACCCUAAAACCUAAACUCUAAACCCUAAACCCUAAAUUCUAAACCCUAAACUCCACCCCUUGAGUGCUAUUUUUGUGACUUUUGGCCUUAAGUGCUAGUUUGGAAACAAAAACUUUAAUGCUAUUUAGGUCUUUUUCUCUUUUAGUUCCGCUGUCUCAUCGUUAUUUCUUGAAUGGAUCAUUUACAGAGAUGUUUAAAGCCCAAUAAGCUACCCGAAGGCCCAAUCAUACCUUCCCUUAGUUUUUAUUAUUGAACUAGUAUUAAUUUUCUUACUCUCUUGUGUUGUGUCUAGGCCUAGUUGUGUCCUUUAUUCUUGGUAAAAAUCAAACGCAGGAAAUAGAUAAUUUUCUCUCGCUCGCAAGUCGCAACCCAUCUUCUCUCCUCCUUCGUCUCUCGCUCGCACCUCGGAAUCUGAAAGCAGCUCGACGCCUGGAUCGGUAAGAUUCCCUCCCUAUUAUGCAUCAUAAAGAUCUCAUCUUUACGCCUCCAUUUCCGAUUGGCCGUAGCUUUCGUUCCAGGCAGGAUCUGUGAUGUUCAUCGGAUUGAUUUCAAGAUCCAAAAGCCUCUCUCCCUUUACCUGAUUCCAUCGCUACUGAUAAAUUCACACUAGUCUCGAUAAAGUAGCUUACUUUACCUUUUAAAGUAUCGAUUUUUAAUUCUUCUUUCAGGAGGAUGGCCAUGGUGGAUGAACCUUUAUAUCCCAUCGCUGUGCUCAUUGACGAGCUUAAGAACGACGAUAUACAGCUUCGCUUGAACUCCAUCCGUCGCCUAUCUACAAUCGCUCGUGCCCUUGGAGAGGAGCGCACGAGGAAAGAGUUAAUCCCCUUCCUGAGUGAGAACAGUGAUGAUGACGACGAGGUUCUCCUUGCAAUGGCUGGGGAGCUGGGUGUUUUCAUUCCUUUUGUUGGAGGGGUUGAGCAUGCACAUGUGCUUCUCCCUCCUCUGGAGUCUCUCUGCACCGUUGAAGAGACCUGCGUGAGAGAGAAAGCUGUGGACUCGCUUUGUAAGAUCGGAUCUGAGAUGAGGGAGAGUGAUCUUGUGGACUCCUUUGUCCCUCUUGUGAAGGUUAGAUAGUGAUAGUGAGAGAGAAUCUAUAUGUACCAAGUGGUCAAGGCUAAUUUGUUUUUUUCUUUAUAUUGUAGAGACUUGCAGCUGGUGAAUGGUUUGCAGCUAGAGUUUCCGCAUGUGGUUUGUUUCAUGUUGCGUACCAAGGCUGUACUGAUGUGUUGAAGACAGAGUUGCGGUCUAUUUAUAACCAGUUGUGCCAAGAUGAUAUGCCUAUGGUGCGGAGAGCUGCUGCAACUAACCUGGGGAAAUUUGCUACUACUUUGGAGUCCAGCUAUUUGAACGCUGAGAUCAUGACUAUGUUCGAUGAUCUUACUAAAGAUGGUACUUAAUGCUUGAAAUAUGUCACGUCUCACUAUAUGUGUCCAUCAUUUAAAACUAGUUUGCAUGGUAAAUAAAUCACAUUUGAAACUAAGAAGCAAGGUUUGAUGAAGAAACCUGUUAGAGCAGAUACAUAUCUCUUUAGAAAUGUUUGUUUCUUAUACAUUAUUUUUUAUAUUGGUUUAAAUUUGAAACUUCAUUUCAGAACAAGAUUCUGUCAGACUAUUGGCUGUGGAAGGCUGUGCAGCUCUUGGAAAGUUACUGGAACCUCAGGAUUGUGUUGCACGCGUUUUACCUGUUAUUGUUAAUUUCUCUCAGGUGAAAUUGAGCUUUGGUUUUACUUUUAUUGCAUUGAUAGCUUUCAUCAGUAAACGUUUGCAGUCCUGAUAUAAGUGGAUGCUAUAUGGUUUGUUUUAUGAGAGCAGGAUAAAUCUUGGAGGGUGCGCUACAUGGUUGCUAAUCAGCUAUAUGAACUUUGUGAGGCAGUUGGUCCUGAUUGCACCAAGUAUGUGCCUUCUGACAUUUCUUGUUUUAUUGUUCUGGCUUUUCUUUCUCGUAAAACAAUGUUGCGACCAUCAAGCUAAGAGCGUUUAUUGGAAGCCCUGGACGGUAUCUUAUUAUUUCGACACGAAAACUUUUUUGUGGUUCUAGGACGGAUUUGGUUCCAGCGUAUGUAAGACUGCUACAGGACAAUGAGGCUGAAGUGCGAAUAGCAGCAGCGGGGAAAGUGACUAAGUUCUGUCAGCUUUUGAAUCCAGAGCUUUCUAUUCAGCACAUCCUUCCUUGCGUGAAGGUACGUACACUCACUCGGCUCUUACUUUUUCUUAAUUCCAUAUAUAACAGGCAUGGGUUGAUGGCAUUUCCUUUUUAUUGUCUUGCAGGAUUUAUCAUCCGAUUCUUCUCAACAUGUCCGCUCUGCUCUAGCGUCAGUAAUAAUGGGAAUGGCUCCUAUCCUUGGAAAGGUAUAUGAACUGGAGAUAGCCAACACCUCUGCAUCUUGUAAAUAUAAGUUACACACCAAUUGGUGUUGCAUCAAUGAUAAUUUAACAGAGUAAAAUCUUCAAUACAGGACUCAACCAUUGAGCAUCUGCUACCAAUUUUUCUCUCCCUUUUGAAAGAUGAAUUUCCUGAUGUACGCCUCAACAUCAUAAGCAAGCUAGACCAAGUCAACCAGGUUUGCUCCAUAUCCCUCUUCCAAAGUCUUAUAUACUUCUUUUUUAACUGAUAACUGAAGUUAUCUUUGUACGGCAGGUUAUUGGGAUUGAUCUGCUGUCACAAUCCUUGUUACCGGCGAUUGUAGAGCUUGCCGAGGAUCGGCACUGGAGAGUUCGUCUUGCUAUUAUUGAGUACGUUCCUCUGUUGGCCAGCCAGCUAGGUAUAGGGUUUUUCGAUGACAAGCUCGGAGCCCUUUGCAUGCAAUGGUUACAAGACAAGGUUUAUCUUAAUCCCUGAUAUUGGAUCUUUAAUGGUAGCAUAAUAUCUCUCAUCUACUUGUGAUUCUGGAUAUUAACGUUGUUCUCGUCUCCUCCUUCAGGUCUACUCUAUCCGUGAAGCUGGAGCAAACAACCUAAAGCGUCUUGCAGAGGAGUUUGGUUCUGAAUGGGCAAUGCAGCACCUAGUUCCCCAGGUUGUAUUCUUUGGGCAGUUCCUACUAGAACCUUUCAUAUCUAUGGCUCUGAUCUCGAUCCUUGGGUCUUUUUUUUUUGCUAAAGCUGCAUAUAUAGAGCUCCGUAUUAACCUUUUUUGCUUUCAUGUAAACAGGUAUUGGAGAUGGUCAACAAUCCGCACUACCUACACAGGAUGAUGGCUCUACGUGCAAUAUCACUCAUGGCUCCUGUAAUGGGAUCAGAAAUCACAUGUUCUAAGUUUCUUCCCGUCGUGGUUGAGGCAUCAAAAGACAGGUGAGAUAGAUAGAGAUGACUUUCGCAAGCUCCUUCAGAGAAAAGUUUUUUUUCUAACGUGUUGUUGCACAUAUCUAACCGCUGCAGAGUUCCAAACAUCAAGUUCAAUGUUGCAAAACUUCUGCAAUCCCUCAUCCCCAUAGUCGACCAAUCAGUAAGAAUGAGAUUAAACAUUACUCCAAUGUUAAAUGCUGAACUGUAAUGUUAUUUGCUGUGUUUUGUAGGUGGUGGACAAAACAAUACGUCAGUGUUUGGUGGACCUGAGCGAGGACCCUGAUGUUGAUGUUCGUUAUUUUGCAAACCAAGCGCUUCAGUCCAUUAAUGGUGCCGCAGUGGCGUAAUCCUGAUUCUUUUCAAGCGUAUUACUGAUAGAUAAUCUUUCAUCUGGAAUAACUUUUCGUUUAUAAAGUUUCUUGUAUUUGUUUUCUUUUUCUGCUAUUGCAUUGGUAUGUUUUGUGUAAAACGCUAUUUUGGCUGCUGGUUAUGAACUGCAUUUGAUAUAUGUUAGGAAAAUUGUAUUUCCUUUGUUACAUCUUCUUGUGUUCAAAUCCUUGUUUCCAAUAUGUUCAUCUUAGUUUACUCAACUGCAAAUACCACCCUAUCGAGAAUCCGACUUUGGAUUGUGUUGCUGCUUAAUUCUUAGAAAUUUGGAUGAUUCAUAUGUUACUAAAAUCAAUUAAUCAUCGCUCCCGAUAUCCAUAACUACUGUAUGUAGCACUAGCACAUCUGUGAAGUGAUUAUGUCCUUGAACAGUCAGUUUUAACUAAAGUUGUUUAGGGAUAGAUUGAUAAGAGUCAAAGCUUGUGGCUGUUUGGUCUUCCGGCUAGUUCUGUUUCUUUCUUUCGCUUGUCCAAGCUUUGUUCCUCUUCAAUUAGUUUGUGUUUAACUAAAAGGCAAAAUCAGUAGAUUAUAUUUGAUUAAUUUUGGUCAAACUAACGUCCACAACUUCUAUUCAUGACGAAGGAAUCAUCUACUUGCAUGAUAUUCUACAGUUAUAUCUCUUCUUUUCCAAGAGACAUGGCCUGAUCAAGCAGAGAAGGGGUGCACAUGCACCCAUAAUUUAUCACCAUCAAAUAUUAAAAUUAGCAGAGAAGGGGUGCACAUGCACCCAUAAUUUUUUGAAAAAUUAAUGUAAUUGUUAAGAAAUUUUAAAUGUGCACCCACUAUAAUUCAUUACUAGAUUUUAACCCGCGCACCCGCGCGGGUGUAUUUUUCAAAAAUAUUUUGCUACUUGUUUUUUAUGUUAAUAUUAGUGCUUGAAAAAAAUCAAAAUCUGAAGAACGAAACCGAUCUUGAUCUGAAAGUGUAAUACCAAACCCGAACCAAAAUUGAUAGCAAAAUAUUUUGAAAAAUAUGUUAAUAUUAAAUCUGCGCGCCUGCGCGGAUGUAUAUUUUGAAAAAUAUGUUGAUAUUUGUUUUUCAUGUAAUUAUUAGGGUUUGGCAAAAUGAAUCCGAGGAACAGACCCGAUACCGAUCCGAAAAUAUAGUACCAAACCCGAACAUAAAUUGAUUAAAUAUUCAAAUUAUUCAAAGUUUUGUUAUUUAGAGAUCCAAAUCUGAUCCGAACCGAAGUAUUCGGAUACUUAUAUAUUUAAUUAUAUUUAGAUUUAACGUAUAUAAAACAUCAAGAAUUAUACUUUUAAAUUGGUUUAAAUACUUGAAAAUAUAUAUAGAUAGUCAAAAGUAAAUAUCUGAAAUAGUUAAGGUAUACUCAAAUCACCAAAAAUACUUAAAAUAUUUAUUGAUUUUGUAUCCAAAAAUUUUAAAUGCCAAUUGAUAUGUUAAGCUUAGGUAUUCUGACAUAUGUUAUUUGAAUUUAUUGGAAAUAUAUUAUUUUAUUUAUAGAUUUUGAGAAAUUUAAAAUAUAUAAUGAUUUAAAACUUUAAAAAUAAUUUAAAUGGAUCCAAACUCGAACCAAACCCGCAAAGGUCUGAAUCACACUCAAACCAAAAUUUAGAAACAUCCUAAUAGGGCUGAAAUCUUUGACCCCGGAAAUCUGAAAUGCAAAUCGAUCAGAACCAAACUCGUAUGGGUAACCGAAAGUCCAUCCCUAGUCAUUAUUAUGUAUCGUAUAUUGUCAUCAUAUAAUUAAUCGUAUUUUAUAUGUACCAUCAUAUAAAUAAUUACAUAUAUUAUAUUUUUAAAACUUAAUAUGAAAUAUAAAAACCAUAAUUUGAGUUGGUAUUUCAAAUUGGGCUUCGUAUUGUAUUUUUCUUAUAUAUAUGUUGACAACAUUUUUUAUAAUGGUUAUUGAAAAAUAGUUUAGUAAAAAUCCAUUUUUGAAUAUAUGUAUAUUUUUCAAUCAAUUUAUGAUAUAAAUCAAUUUUGAAUUAUUAUUUUGAUUUUAAAAUAUGUAUAUAAAGUUUAAAUUUUGUUUUAUGGUUAGUUUAGAAAAAAAAGUUUUAGGCAAUUAGAUUGACUCAUUUUAAAACUGGCUCAAAUAGAUAGUUUCUUAUAAUAUGAUGGACUUUCAAUUUUUCUUAAUAACAUAAGCCCAUUACUUUUUUGCUUAAUAAUACUAUCCUUGUUUUCAAACAAAAGUAAUGGUUAUUGAAAAAGAGUUUAGUAAAAAUUCAUUUUUGAAUAUAUGUAUAUUUUUCAAUUAAUUUAUGAUGUAAAUCAAUUUUGAAUUAUUAUUUUGAUUUGAAAUAUGUAUAUAAAGUUUAAAUUUUGUUUUAUGGUUAGUUUUGAAAAAAAAGUUUAAAUGAUUUGACUCAUUUUAAAACUGACCCAAAUAGAUAAUUUUUUAUAAUAUGAUGGACUUUCAAUUUUUCUUAAUAACAUAAGCCCAUUACUUUUUUGCUAAAUACUACUAUCUUUAUUUCCAAACAAAAGUAAUAUUUUUUAAAAAGACUACAAUCCAUGUUACCAAACACUCUUAUUUUUUAAACUCAUAUACAUGUUUCCAAACAAUCUCAUUUUGUACUUCAGUUUUAAUAAGAUAGAUAGUGCACCCACAAAAAUUUACAUUAAGCCCUAAUGAAAAAAGUAAACAUAAUUUAUCACCAUCAAAUAUUAAAAUUAGCUUUAAAGUCCAAUUGUAUUCUCUAUUUUUUUUUGGUUAAAAUUCUAAUAGUUCGCUCAAAAAAUUUAAUCGCUUAAUCUUUUCUUCUUAAACAUGCAAGUGCAACCAUCAAAUCAAGUUGACAAAGUUUUAUUCUCUUGUCUACCAUACAAAACUGGUAACUAAUUUAAUAAUCUCUAUGUUAAUGCUUUGAGUUGUUUUAAACAAUGUUUACGAUUAGUAAUUAUUUAGAUAGCAUCUAAGUUUUUGAUUCAGUAGUAAAAGUCCAAAAGUCAUAGAAGUGGCUUUACUCUUGACUACAGUUGAUGGUUUUGCAGGUUUUACAUGUUUGUAAUUUAUUUAUGUUUCAUUAAUUAUGUUUUUGAUAGAUUGCACGUUUAAAUUAUGUUACGUUUUCAGUUUUAAUUAGAUUUAUCUCGGUGAUGAAAAAAUAUUUUAUUAUUUAAUAAUCUUUAUUUUUGGUUUAUAGGUUUUUGAAGUUGAUUUUAACUUUACCAGUUGAAGCGAUAAGUAUUAAUAUUUUUCUACAAUGAAAAUAGUGAAGAUAACUCUAUGAAAUCGAAUGAAAUAUUAUUUUUAAAUAAUUAUCUCAUUUUUAUUAAAAAAUUAUUUUUUUAAUAUAUAUCUAAAAUAUUUUAUUUAAUAUUUUAUCUAAUGUUUGUGCACCCUUUAUAAAAAAAUUCUGGCUUCGCCCCUGACACUUGACACUUGUAGUGAUCAAACUCAUAGAAAAGAGACGGGAUCUUUGUCAUUUUUGCAACUGACCCAUGAUUUAAGACAAGAUCUAACUCGAAAAAGCAAAGACUUUAUGCAAUGAAGUGUCGUAGAAACUAGAAAGCAAAACCAGGAAAGGGAUUCUCAAAUCCUAACUGUAUGCUUUAUUUCUGUUUAUUAGUUUACAACUUUAAAUGAUUAUUUGCUUCGUAUAUUACGUACUAAUAUAAAUUUCCUUAUUUGGGUUUAUCUCUCAUGGAAUUUCUAUAUUUUCUGCUCGUUUUUGUGUAAUUUUUCCUUGUAUCCCAUCUUCGAAUAAUCAGGGCCGUGCCUGACAUUUGCAAGACUAGAACCAAAGAAAAAAAAUUGGCCCCUGUAAAAAUAAUUUAUCAUUAACAUAAAAUAAAUUGAUGAUCGGCAGACUAGAUAUAUAAGAGAUGAGUCUGUAGUGGACUUUUAUCGGAAGACUAGAUAUAUAAGAGAUGAGUCUGUAGUGGACUUUUAAAAGUCUAAUAAUUAAACAAAACUUUACCGAUGGACAAUGGUUCGUAGAUGAUGUAGUCUGUAGGAGAAACAAAAGACUUUGUGACUUCGUUAAUUGAGAGUUAAGUGAAUAACUAGAAAACAAUUGAUUAGGUUUUGAUAACUGAUUUUUUUUUUCCUGAGGAAUUUAUAUAGUUAAUGCUGAUCAUUAUCCUAUUUCCUUUUUAUUUUGAUAUUACUAUAUUUCCUUUUUCUUUUAAGUAAAGUUAGUUUAAUUUUCGUUUAAAAAUAUUGUACUACAAAGAGCAUUAGUCGGAUUUCGGACCCGGGCUGCUAAAAGUUCGACUCAUGUAACAUCCACUUUAACCAUCUCAGCUAUUUAAACAUAUGAAAAAAUGAACCCAAUUUAAUUUCUAUAUUGAUCGACCCUCAAGCAAAUGCUUGAUGGGCUUGUAUCCAGGCCUCGCCCUGCGAAUAAUAGACAAAAAUUAGAAUUAAUUCUUUGGAAUUGAUAUUUGGUUAACUGUUAAAAGUAUACUUUUUGUUUAAGUGAGAUAAAUUUUAUGUGUAGCAUGCACCUGUGAAAGUAAAAGAGUGUUUUUUUUUAUGAACAAAGGAAAAAGUAAAAGGUGGACAUGACAUAACUUUAAUUGAAACAAUUACAAUUUAAUUUGUGCACCAGUUGACAUCACAAAAGUAGAAAAGGUAAUAUGAUUGACCCGAAUGGCUGCCACUUCAUUCUUUGCAAUGGCAUCAUGUCUUCGCCACCUUGCCAUGUUCCUCUCUUUUUUUAGUUAUGUAAAUAAAAUUAUUUAUUUUAAAAAAGAUUAUACAUGUACAUGAGGAAAUCACUAAUCAUAUACAGUAAUAAUUUUCUUGACUUUUUGAACAAAUAAUUUGUUUAACUUCUUCUCCUAAACAUAAUGAUUUAGUUCUUUCAUUUUUCCAAUUAGUAUCCUAUAAAGUUCUAUACUACUGCAGUACUGCUAAGAUCGAGCUGAUGAGAGAUUGCAAUUCGUAUAUGUUUUUAGACAAUCUCUAAUGGUUUACUCUAUUUUUUCCUCUAAAGUAAUUUUAUAAUAGAGUGUGAUGUUAUUUUAAUGGUACUCUAUUUUAGAGUGAAAAAUAGAGUGAUGAACAAAAAAUAAAAAAAUUACUCAAUAUAUAGAAUAAAAAAUAGAUUUACACUAUUAUAGAGUAGAAAAUAAAGUACCAUUGAAAUAUUUUUACUCUAAACUCUAUUUUAGAGGGGAAAAUAAAGUGGGGUUGGAGAUAUACUUAAACAAAAAACUAGAUACUGUAUUGACUAGCAAUUAACACGUGAGCAGCUAGUGUAAAUAUUAUUCUGGAAUAACUACAUAUCAUCAUCAUGAUACGUAAUCAAAUCCAUACCAAUAUCAAUCAAGUCGUUGCUUCGUCAUAGAAAAGGUGACAAUUAGAGAUUUUUCAGAACUAUAGAAGAUUAAUUUUUAAAUUAAGUAAAAACAAAACAAGGUUUCGUUAGACCAAAAAGAAAAACAAGGUUCCGAGUUGGUGGGUGCGGGCAAGCAGAAGCAUCAUCUGAACUGGAAUGUCAGAGUUAAAACGUCACGACCAAGAAUUUAAUUCAUUACACAACUCUUUGCAACAACAAGUACAAGAAAAAAAACAUUAAAUGCUACUAACAUUUAUUUGUCGAGAAUCCAAUGAGAGAGUUCGCCAAAUCGAAACCGACACGUGUCCCUUGCUGCUGCACGUUUCCGAUGAUCGCAAGCGAACUCGCCGUCGGUGCAAACGCAAGACAGAAAGUCCCCACCGAGUCAACCGGAAUCAUGUAAUUCUUUGCCGGCAACGCCAACAUGUUCCCGCCGGGAAAAUGAAAAGCCACCGUGGGGACCUCAAUCGUCGUUUUAGCCGCCAGAUUGUAACACGUGUCGAACAUGGCAACUCCGGCGGCUUUCUCCAAGUCCGUCGUCCCUUUCACGAACGCGUCUCUGAGCGAGUUGUAGAUUCCCGUCUGGAGCCGAGUCACGGCCGUUCCCGAGUCGAUAAUGAUCCCUCCGCCUCCCGACUCGUCCACCUCGAAAGAAGAGCUCGGAAUCUGAAGCAUCUCGCCGCCGACGCUUAUCCCGGUGAGUCCAAGGUAGUAGAACGUGUCGAGCUGGUGGUUACGCAGCAGCGGAGCCACGACGGCGUCGGGAGAGAUAUCCGACCCGAACUCGACGGUGGAAACCGAGUCCGAGUCGCGGUCGACGAGGCAGUAAGAGAACGACGUCGUGUUCAGCUGCGACGGCAGAGCGAGCAAACCGCCGCCGAGACCGAGCAAACCGGCGGCGCCAACGAACAGUCCUUGGUUGCUGUGUCCACACCCGACGGCGACGUUAUCGACGGAAGCUGAGCCGAUGGUGAGCGUCUCGGUGGCGAGAUCGCCGACGGUGUAAGAGCCGUCUCCGUAAGAAACCUCGUAGAGACACGUGGCGUUCCUGCAUUCGGAGACCUCGAGGGCCUUGCACUGAGGAGUGUCGCAAGAGAGUGUAGAGUAAGAAGAGGAAGACGACGGCUCGAAGAUGGGCUCGGUCUGGUGGUAGCAGUCGGCGCAAGGGGCGCACUGUAGCCAGUUCACGUCGCUUCCGGUAUCGAGCACCAUGUAGACCUCACGCGCCGGGUUUCCGAUACCCACGCGUGUGAAGUACUCGCCGCUUCCUUGAGUUGUGCCGGAGAUCAAAGGAGCUUCGAUCUCUUGCUGCUCCGUGGUGUACAUUGUGGUAAUAACGGGCUUGAGAUCUGCUUUGGAUAUGUUGUUAGUGGCUAGAUCUAAACGAGCCAUGAGGGAUUUGACUCGGGCUGAGUCACGGUCGAGUCUAGCUAGCGUGAGAGACUUGUAGUCUGAGUGCUCAUUUCCUUGGACGGAGGCUCGUGAAUGAAGCUGCAAGCUAAAUGAAGAGGACGAAAAAGAUGGAGUGUGACUCUGUUCUUCUUGCUGGUUCAGCUGAAACGACGGCGCACCCUUGGUUCUGCGAAUGGAGUCGGAGACAUCAAGAAUCGUUGAAGUAGUGACAGAGAUCUUUGGCAAGAUUCUGGAAGUAACCGAAGAAUGUGAAACGAGGAAGAAGAUGAAGAGAACAAAGCAACGGUGAGAAAACAUUUUUAGUUCCCGACCGUUAGAUAGACCUAGAGUGAGAGAUCUUCUCUUACUUAUUAAAGAGAGAGAGGCAAGACAAAAGUGAGUUUUGUGGUGGGGGAGGGAAGAAAGUGAGACAAAAGUGAGUUUUGUGGUGUUUUGCAGAUUCCAAGGAGAUUUAUAUACGAGCAAGUAUCUUUGGAAGAAACAAGAAGAUAUAUAAAUGGUUAAAGAGGAAGAGGAGGUUUCUUCAUCGUCUUUAGGUGUGAAGAUUAAUUAUAACUUCGUUUUAUGAUCUCAAUGCGGUUAGUGUGGCGCUUAUUAGUAUAUCUAUCUUGUUUAGAAUCUCAUUUCUCAUCACUUUUUCAUCUUCGUCCUUAUUUAAGUGUUUUUGACAACGAGCUUAGCUUUUUGCUAAUGACUUUCAAGUAAUUGACAGCUCAUCCAUUUCGUAUUCUAUUACCCAAGCAAAUACAUAAUAAAACUAUUAUGGUAUUAAACAAUGUAGCUAAGCAAAGUAAAAAAGGCUUUUAUAAAAUACACACUUGCGUGAUAAUGCAUAUCAAAAUUUGGUUCAUUAGUAAGAAGUUCAUAAACUUAAAGAUUCAGAAAUAAAAUCAUAAAUUCAAAAUCUAGUUUAAGCUUUUGCUUCUUGUUUUUUCUUUAAGAAAAAGUAAUUGAAUUAGGUUAGUGUAGGAUAAAAUUGAAGUAAAUUAGUCCUUAGAUAUGCCAUACACUAAUUAUUAAGUGUUCAUUUCACUUUUACGUUCCUAAGAGCAUGAUUAACCAGAGCAUAAUUAACCGGAGUUCUUAAUUUGGAGUUCUUAACUCAUGAUUUGACACUUUUUUUUACACUUUUUGGCUAAGAGUCGGCUUUUAUAUCUCUUAUUUAAAAGACGGUUCUUAGCUUUUCUUAGUUAAAAGUUAAGAAACGGUUUUUAGAUUUUCUUAGUUAAAAGCUAAGAACCCCACCUAAGAGCCCAGGUUAAUCAUGGUCUAAGGCGUCCCUUUGCCAUCCCCAAAUGGUCCCUGUCCCGGAGACGUUUCCAUUACGGAUACGGCAAGCAAAAUGACGUCCCCGUGCAACAUAGGUACACAAUAUAUCCCAGAGAUAAACAUGUGGCCAAGGCUCCUUUGUGUCUUCAAGAAAAGGAGACACCUGAAAAAUAAACCACAACAUAAAGAUGAAUCAGUAAUCACAAUCAAACACGACAUAUCAGUAAUCACAAUAUCAAAACAUACAUCGGCCACUGAAAGACGUCUUCUGUUGAAGAUCACGUUGCAAAGCAAAAAAAUAUCGUCUUAGUAUAGAUGCAUGACAUUUGAGAACAAGCCUUUGUGCAGACAAUUGUCUCUCCACAUAAUCUGGAAAAAAAAACAAAUGUUAUUGUUUGUACAAACAAAACAAACACAAAAAAUAGAAUAAAGAAUGACUACCUCUGAAACAACCAUCACAAAACUUAUGUCCGCAGUUAAUCCUCAAACAAGAUACUAAUGUUUUACGGAACGAACAAUAGGAAUAGACGUCAAGUGGUGGAGACUCCGUUAUGCAAUUAAUUUUUGUUUUCUUGCCACUUAAGGCGUCUAUGGGUAAUCAAAGUGAAUCGAAUUAAUCUACUUUCACCUGGAAGUUUUUUUGGGGAAUUUUAUAUUUACCAAUUUCAUAUACCAUUAUUUACCUUUACCACUAUUAAAGGAUCAUUUUCAAAAAUACAUUUUUAAUUAAGUGGCAAAAUAAUCUUAUACUCGUGUUCAAUAUAUAUAAUAAAUAAUUAUUUAAAUAAAAUAAAAUAAAACAAAAUAAAAAUAAAAUUGAAAAUUAUGUUUGAACCUAUUUUUUAAAAAAUUAUAUUUUUAAGUAUUUAUUUUAUAUAUUUAUUGGAAUCCUAAAUUUCACAUUAUAAAAAGAGCAAUUCUCUCAAAUAGCCUUUUUAAGUUUUUGUCACAAAAAUAGACCUCGAAAACUAAAAUGACCAAAAUAGCAUUUUUAUUUUGAAAAUUUUAAUUUUUUUUUAUUUUUAAAAAUUUGAAAUCAUAUCCACAAAACCCCACUCCUCAACUCUAAACCCUAAACUUUAAACCCUAAACCCUAAACCUUAAACCCUAAACCCCACUCCUUAACUCUAGACCUUAAUGUCUAGAUUAAUUAACUUCAG
This 12924-nucleotide long non-coding RNA is filed under the name Brassica napus (rape). RNAcentral's name for it is "long non-coding RNA (BNAP_LNC005936)". The record is from RNAcentral. Lineage: Eukaryota; Viridiplantae; Streptophyta; Magnoliopsida; Brassicales; Brassicaceae.